CAACAGUGUAUGCUAAAAGUUGUUGCGGUUGAAAAGCUCGUAGUUGGAUUUUGGGCGGGCGCAGCCGGUCCGUCGCAGGGCGUGUCACUGGUUGCGCUCGCCUCGCCUUCGGUUCUCCGUCGGUGCUCUUGACUGAGUGUCGGCGGUGGCCGAGAAGUUUACUUUGAAAAAUUAGAGUGUUCAAAGCAGGCUGCUCGCCUGUAUAGUGUUGCAUGGAAUAAUGGAAUAGGACCUCGGUUCUAUUUUGUUGGUUUUCGGAGCGCGAGGUAAUGAUUAAGAGGGACAGACGGGGCGUCCGUACUCUGCCGUUACGAUGGUGAAAGUUCAUUGGAUUUGAUCGAAAGACGAACAACUGCGAAAGCACUUGCCAAGAGUGUUUUCAUUAAUCAAGAACGAAAGUUAGAGGAUCGAAGACGAUUAGAUACCA
This 427-nucleotide ribosomal RNA is filed under the name uncultured eukaryote. RNAcentral's name for it is "bacterial SSU rRNA". It matches the Rfam family "Eukaryotic small subunit ribosomal RNA", at positions 592 to 1017 of the family's 1831-position model. The record is from RNAcentral.